Molecule: ribosomal RNA, 253 nt
Filed under: uncultured bacterium
Lineage: Bacteria
Description: partial 16S ribosomal RNA
Rfam family: Bacterial small subunit ribosomal RNA
Source: RNAcentral
UACGAAGGGGGCUAGCGUUGUUCGGAAUCACUGGGCGUAAAGCGCACGUAGGCGGGUUCUUAAGUCAGGGGUGAAAUCCCGAGGCUCAACCUCGGAACUGCCUUUGAUACUGGGAAUCUUGAGUUCGGGAGAGGUGAGUGGAAUUGCGAGUGUAGAGGUGAAAUUCGUAGAUAUUGGGAAGAACACCGGUGGCGAAGGCGGCGAGCUGGUCCAUUACUGACGCUGAGGCGCGACAGCGUGGGGAGCAAACAGG